AAUUCAGUUUUGAAUAAAUACAGCAAUCCAUUAUUUCUUUUAGUGAGGCAAAUACCUCUACAUUCUUACAUUCUUGCAGAACUUUGUCUUGCUAAUUAUGAAAAUCUGUCCUAGCUCAUAUUUCACAUAGAUUCAUUUUUUAAAAAAGAACUAUAAAACAUAUUUUUAUGUAAAAUAUUCCUUUGCUCAUGGUUAUUAUGUAGUACAGUACUCUAACAUCCUGCAUUUGAGGACUUUCUCUUGCAGAAUCAUCUCCUUUCCUUGGAACUCAAACCUACAACUUUGUCUUGUCCAACAUCAGCAUUGUAUGUAAGAGCUCCUCCUUCACAGUGAGAGGGUCAAAAACACCAGAUAUGCCAAAAAGACCUAAAAGAUGAAUCAUAAUAUAAAUUAUUAAAAAUGUUUUGAUAACAGAAGCCAAUAAUAAAACCAAUGCAAAGUCUCAAAUCCUGCUCAACAGACAAAGACCAGAGACCAGGAAGAUAAUUAAAAGAGACUACAUUGAAAAAUAAAUCAGGGUACAAAGCUAAGAGUAUGUAACCUUGAUACAUGAAUCUUGAUAUGAUAACCUUGAUAAAUGAACCCAGGGAAAGAGGUUGGGCUCCAAUGGUGAAAAAGUAUAAACUCUGAUCCACCACCCACAGCCUCAGGCUGUUCUAACUAAAAGCCAUCAGAGGCAUGGUUCAUUAGCAGGUCAAGCUGGUUUAAGAAGCCAGGGAAAGGCAAAUGCAAAACUUUCUUUCUAGAAACAUUCCAUCUCCCUGUUCUCCGAAUAUGCCUUAACAAUACUUUAUCCAUAUCUUUGUUAUUCCUAUACUCAAGAAUAUCUCCCUCUAUUUUCUAUCUAUACCAAUCCAUUUUGUUUUUGAAGACCUGGUUUCUCAGCACCACUCAGCUUCUCUCUAUACAAAAGUACUCAUUGAUCUGACCACAUAUUUUGGUGCCUAAGAAUUUUCUGUAACAUGAUGUUACCACGGGUAUGUAAAUGUAUGUACACAUAAUCAAUUUGAAGGUGAGUCCACACAUUUUUACCUCCUCAUUGCCUAGAAUAUUAGUAUUCCAUGCUUAUUAGUAAAUGCUCAAAAUAUUGCUAUUUUUUGAGUGAGUGGCAAUAUGGAAAAAUAUGAGAACAGAUAUGAAAGAUAUCAAAGAAACAUUGAGAAGCUAAAUGAUGUGCCUAAAAAUGCCAACUAUGAAAUUAUUUUUUAAUUAUUAAAAGUGUUAAUAAAAUAAAUUGAUCAAAGUUUUUUAAAUUUAGUUUUGUUAUAUGCCAUAGUCAUUUGAAAGAUCCCAUUUGCAAUAAGAAAAACUACAUAAACUAUUGAAGAAGAAUUACUAAGAAAUGAAUUUGUC
RNAcentral lists this long non-coding RNA (1353 nucleotides) under Marmota monax (woodchuck). The record is from RNAcentral. Lineage: Eukaryota; Metazoa; Chordata; Mammalia; Rodentia; Sciuridae.